AUCCCAUGAUGAGGACACUCGAUAUGUAAUCUUGAAUGCGCUCCGAAGCUUCUGGUACUAUCUCAUCAUGCUAUUGCUGAAAGCUUGAUAUCUUCCCACACAGAGCAU
Molecule: small nucleolar RNA, 108 nt
Filed under: Sorghum bicolor (sorghum)
Lineage: Eukaryota; Viridiplantae; Streptophyta; Magnoliopsida; Poales; Poaceae
Description: Plant small nucleolar RNA R71
Rfam family: Plant small nucleolar RNA R71
About the family: R71 is a member of the C/D box family of snoRNAs containing the C (UGAUGA) and D (CUGA) box motifs. Multiple nearly identical copies of this snoRNA have been identified in Arabidopsis, and it is thought to function as a 2'-O-ribose methylation guide for 18S ribosomal RNA.
Source: Rfam by way of RNAcentral